GGAGGGUGCAAGCGUUACUCGGAUUUACUGGGCGUAAAGAGCACGUAGGCAGUUUGGUAAGUCUGAUGUGAAAGCCCACGACUCAAUCGUGGAAGUGCAUUGGAUACUGCCAGACUAGAGUACAGGAGGGGUGAGCGGAAUUCCAGGUGUAGAGGUGAAAUUCGUAGAUAUCUGGAGGAACAACGGAGGCGAAGGCGGCUCACUGGACUGUUACUGACGCUGAGGUGCGAAAGCGUGGGGGGAGCGAACGGGAUUAGAUACCCCGGUAGUCCACGCUGUAAACGAUGGAUACUAGGUGUCGGGGGCCUUACCCCUCUCGGUGCCGUAGCUAACGCGUUAAGUAUCCCGCUGGGGACUACGACCGCAAGGUUA
Molecule: ribosomal RNA, 372 nt
Filed under: uncultured organism
Description: partial 16S ribosomal RNA
Rfam family: Bacterial small subunit ribosomal RNA
Source: RNAcentral